AUUUAUUAUUUUUCUAAUUUUUGAUGUUUGUGACCACCAAUGUUUAAGUUUGUAGUUAGCUGACCGGUGAUUAGUUUGCUAAGUUGUUAUUCUUAUGUGAAAUUAUGUAUUUUAGUUUAGCAUUGGAGUCACAUAUGACGAAGCACGC
Bradysia coprophila is the source of this 148-nucleotide long non-coding RNA. NCBI's taxonomy places the organism in Eukaryota, Metazoa, Arthropoda, Insecta, Diptera, Sciaridae. The record is from RefSeq and is a predicted model, not a curated record.